UGGGGAAUUUUCCGCAAUGGGCGAAAGCCUGACGGAGCAAUGCCGCGUGGAGGUGGAAGGCCUACGGGUCGUCAACUUCUUUUCUCGGAGAAGAAACAAUGACGGUAUCUGAGGAAUAAGCAUCGGCUAACCCUGCGCCAG
This 141-nucleotide ribosomal RNA is filed under the name uncultured bacterium. RNAcentral describes it as "partial 16S rRNA". It matches the Rfam family "Bacterial small subunit ribosomal RNA", at positions 355 to 511 of the family's 1533-position model. The record is from RNAcentral.